This 164-nucleotide ribosomal RNA is filed under the name Digitalis purpurea (common foxglove). Its description in RNAcentral is "5.8S ribosomal RNA". It matches the Rfam family "5.8S ribosomal RNA". From Rfam's summary of the family: 5.8S ribosomal RNA (5.8S rRNA) is a component of the large subunit of the eukaryotic ribosome. Lineage: Eukaryota; Viridiplantae; Streptophyta; Magnoliopsida; Lamiales; Plantaginaceae. The record is from RNAcentral.
CUAAACGACUCUCGGCAACGGAUAUCUCGGCUCUCGCAUCGAUGAAGAACGUAGCGAAAUGCGAUACUUGGUGUAAUUGCAGAAUCUCGUGAACCAUCGAGUCUUUGAACGCAAGUUGCGCCCGAAGCCUUAGGUUGAGGGCACGCCUGCCUGGGCGUCACACA